UACAGAGGGGGCGAGCGCUGUUCGGAAUUACUGGGCGUAAAGGGCGCGUAGGCGGCCUUCUAAGUCGAACGUGAAAUCCCCGGGCUCAACCCGGGAACUGCGUCCGAUACUGGGAGGCUUGAAUCCGGGAGAGGGAUGUGGAAUUCCAGGUGUAGCGGUGAAAUGCGUAGAUAUCUGGAGGAACACCGGUGGCGAAGGCGGCAUCCUGGACCGGUAUUGACGCUGAGGCGCGAAAGCCAGGGGAGCAAACGGG
This 253-nucleotide ribosomal RNA is filed under the name uncultured bacterium. Its description in RNAcentral is "partial 16S ribosomal RNA". It matches the Rfam family "Bacterial small subunit ribosomal RNA", at positions 524 to 776 of the family's 1533-position model. The record is from RNAcentral.